AUAUAGUUAACUUCUUGUCCGAAUUGCAUCCUGCAAGUAUUAGACACAAAACCCUAGAAAACACUGUUAGCACAAAAACAAAAAUAAACGACAAAAAAUACAAAUUAAAAAUAAAAAUAUAAAUAAGAAAAAAAAAUAAAGUCAAAGUUAAUCAAGAAUCACACAAAAAGAAUAACUUAAACCAUGAGUAGCCGGCAACGACGCCAAAAACUUGUUUCUUGGAUCGGCAAGUGUACCAGUCGCACAAGUAAAAUAACAUGGUAAGACCAAGUAUCGUAUCCUAGAAGACUCUCGGCGCUAGACAGUCGUGUGAUAACAAGAUUAAUUAAGACAUAGAAAAACGAGAUAAUUGGUUUCAGAUGCUGUCGCAACCAGAAUCGCGACGGGACGACGACCCAAAAAGAAAACAUGGAUUUGAAAAGAGAUUUGGAGUCGCCACCAUAGUUUAUUUUGGUAAACUACGGAAAAACCAUAAAAAGGAUAAGGCUUAGUCUAUGAAAACCGGAUUCUGGUUUCGGGAGUCGGUGUCGUGUAGGGAAGGUAUUAGCACCCUAUAACGCCUACCCUAAGGCAGUACCUUUAAUUAAAUGAGCAAACUUGAUGUAGUUUUUCAAAAUGUUUAAUUAUCCCUGAAAAUAAAAUUCUAAAGAAACGAAAAUAUUUUUUUUUAUUUUUUGUGCCCGACAAGGAUUGACCUUGCUCCUACGUAUUCUCAAAAUAAGAAAUCAGGAUUAUGUAGUUCUAGAAAAUCGUUUGGGAAAUUUGUUUGAGGAAUUUGUUUUGGACAAGAUUUGGAUUUUUUUGGGAAAAUGAAGAAUAAGAGAAAGGUUUUCAACGCAAGGCUGACGCGAAUGGUCGCACGUGUGCUUAAACCCUUUGAAAUAAUUUUUGUAAUUUUAAAAGAAUAAGAAAAAAGUUUUCAACACAAGGCUGACGCGAAUGGUCGCACGUAUGCUUAAACCUUUUGAAAUCAUUUUUGCUUAACUUUAAAAGAAUAAGGAAAAAAUGUUUUCAAACAAGGCUGACGCGAAUGGUCGCACGUGUGCCUAAACCCUUUGAAAUAAUUUUUGUUUAAUUUUAAAAUAAAUAAGAAAAAGGUUUUCAAGACAAGGCUGACGCGAAUGGUCGCACGUGUGCUUAAACCCUUUGAAAUCAUUUUUGUUUAAUUUUAAAAGAAAUAAGAAAAAAGUUUUCAACACAAGGCUGACGCGAAACCCUUUGAAAUAAUUCUGAUUAAUUUUUUAAAAAAAUAAGAAAAAGGCUUUCAACACAAGGCUGACGGGAAUGGUCGCACAUGUGCUUAAACCCUUUAAAAUAAUUUUUGUUUAAUUUUAAAAAAAUAAGAAAGAUGCUUUCAACACAAGGCUGACGCGAAUGGUCGCACGUGUGCUUAAACCCUUUGAAAUAAUUUUUGUUUAUUAUUAUUUUAUAUAUUUUUUUUAUCUUUCAUUUUUAUUAAUUUUUAUUUAUAAUAUCAAAAUAAUGUUUUCAUGUAAAUAUUCAAAACAACGUAACUAUUUUUAAGGAAAGAUUAAAAGGUAGAAAAUAAAUUACAGCUUAUAAAAAAAUAAUAAUUAAGUAUUAAAAGAAACACUAAAAAAAUCAAUUUUUAUAAUUUUUAAAUUUACCCAUUUUUUGCCUAAGAAAGAAAAACAAUAUUUAAGAGAAAUAAAAUAAAACAAGAACAAUAUUGAAACCGGAAUUUAGUCAUUAAAAGAAAGAUAGCAUCAGAAGCUCUAGCACUAUUUUUUAAAUUUCAGCCCAUUUUUUAAAAAAAAAUACUUUUUAUUGAACAUUUGUUGUUUCUUUCAAAAAUUGAGAAUGCAGCAAAAAAUAAAACAAAGCGAUAAUAAAGACUAAAAGAAACAAAAUACAACAGCAAUAAAUAAAACAAAACAAUCAGUAAGAAAAGGAGUGAUAUAAGAACCAGGAUGAGUGCAACAAGAAGCCCUUCUCUUUCUGUUCCUUUACGUUCUCUUUUCNAAAUUGGAUUUUUUUCCUCCUUUUUUCUGUUCCCUUAUGCUCUCUUCCCGAAGUUCAAUUCUCUUCUUUUUUUUCUUGUUUACCAGGUGCAUAUUUAUAUACACACAUUUGUAAUAUUAUUGUGAUAUUGCAUUAACUGCGAAUUAAUUGUCAAUUAGCAAAAUAGGGAAAUAGAUGGUCUUGAUUGAAUAAAAAUAAAUCAAAUCAUAUUUUUCUCUUCAGGAAGAAAUUGAAUACAACAAUCAAUAUAUUAUUUUUAAUUAUUUCUUGUAAUCAUUGCCAUAAUGUUGAUUCAAAUUAUUACCAAAUAAAACAAAAUUUCAAAAAUAUUUUAAAGUGAUCUGCAUUAAUAUUAAUUGCUAAUGGGCAUUUUUCCAAGAAAAUCAAAUCCAAUUCAUCUCGUGUAGCACCUCUCCCGUUUUAUUCACGUGCACCCCCUUUUUUUUCUCUUUUUUUUUCUUCCUUUCUUUUUUUGUUUUUCUUUUAUUUUACUUUUAUUUUUUCUUUUUUUCUUUUUUUUUUGUUUUCUCGUUUUUUUUCUUUUUUCUCUUUUAUGCUUUUUUCUUUUUUUUUUCUUUUUGUUUGCAAUUAUUUUUCUUUUCUUCUUUUUUCUUUCAUUUUUUUUACAAGACUAAACAAAAUAGCAAAAUAAAAUUAAGAAUAACAAAAUAAAAAAAUGAAUCAAGUCCUAUUAUUUAGUCACCUGGACGAAAUUGGGUGUUGACAGAUGCAAAAACAGAAAAUUAAAUAUGAAUGCAAGUUUGAUAAAUAGCAGAACAAAACAUAACAGAGAUGAACAAAUGUUGUUUAAUAUGAGAUGAGUAUGUUGUUGGGGGUUAGAUUUCACCAAGUUUCCUCUCAUGUAUAUAAGAAUUCUUCUUUAUACAUUAAUAUUAACGUCACUCACUAAAUCACCUAAACCCGAUCUCUCGGCGAAUAAGCCUGUCCCAAAUUACCAGUUCAUGCAAUUCCUAGCAUUCCUAGUAAUUAGAUGUGAAGAUUAAGAGCUUUAAGAAGACCAAGACUCAAACCCUCAUCCUUGAGAAAUAUUACCCUUGAGAGUAAUUUAAACAAGAACCUGAAUUGUAAGGAACCUCUCGACACUCAUGCAAUUCAUAAAUCAUGCUAAUGAAUGAAUUAAACACAGCAAGCGUUGAAGCAGAUGAAUUACUCUAACAAUUAAUGAAAAAGCAUAUAUUAUUAAGAAUCAAUUCAAAUACAUGAGAGUUCACAAGGUUACAUCAUCCCCCAACAAUAAUUAGGGUUUAGUUCCCCAUAGACAUUGAGGAACUAAAUGAAGAAUGAAGAAGAAUGAGAUAGAAAAACCCUAAAAAUUGGGAAUGGAAGCUCCCGCAUCCAAAUCCGCCUCCAGAAGGUGAGAGAAUGUGCAGUUGCACUCCUUCUGCCAAAAAUACAAAACCCAGAGCACUUGGGUCCUUUAAAUAAAGCGAAAAACAGAACAGAACGAAGUUCGGCCCAUGACGCUGGCACUCAAGCGCCCCAUUUAGGGCGCUCGGGCGGUUAGUGCGGCUCUUCCUGAUGCUCAAGCCUCCAAAAUGGUGCCCAAGCUUCGUGGACUCAAUGCUUAAGCGCCCCAAAGGGGCGCUCGGGCGGUGGAUGACAUUCUUCAGCGCUUAAGCCCCCUAAAAGGGCGCUUAAGCUUCGUGUUUCCCUCCCUUCUGGUGCUUUUCUAGGCCUUUCUAAGCUCCUUCUUCUUAACACUUCACCUCUGCUUUCCAUAUUAAUCUCAUUUCCUGCCAAAACAAGGGGAUUUAGUCAUUAUUUCAUCAAACUCAACCUCAACUCUCUUAUUCACACAACUUAAUAGAAAAUCAUGAUUUCAAGCAAGUUCUAAGUAGAAAAGGGUGCAUUUAGUCUCAAAAUUACAUCAUAGAUAACAAUAUUUUUAACCUUUAUCAAUCACCCAACAACAACAACAACAACAACAACAAUAACAACAACAACAACACUCACAACAAGAGGAUGCCCCUACAGAUGAUCCUAUCGCACAUCGUAUGAGCACCAAAGGCUCAUGCUUUACUGCAGAUCGUACUGAUUGCAAUAUUUAGUAUGAGUUUUUGGUUGAUGAGGAUCCUCCACGCGUAGUGGUCGUGGGACGACAGAUUGCACGAGGCCAAAUCAUUCAUGGUACUCCUUUAUUGCCCACUAACUCGCGAGUAAGGAUUAAUGAUGCGACACUUCAUCUGGAAUAUCAUGUCAAAGUCUAGGAGCAAGACUCGAUUGGUCUUCAUCGGCAGUAGGAAUAAUGUAUGGAUGGGAUAUCCUCCUAAACCACAGAAGGUUGUUGAGAUUGUUAACAACACAAUUUCUAUAUCAAUGUAGCUUUUGAUGAUGACAACACAUUGCUUAGUAACAAGCAUAAGUUGUUUGUUGUUAUUACAUGUUCUUAUGCAAAUUGAUUGUUAUAUCUGUGAACAUGAUUUUGUGUUGUGUUACAUGUUCCUAUGUUGAUUGAUUGAUAUAUAUGUGUGGAACGUGUUCAUACGCUUUAUAUGCUGUGUGCAAUGCAUCAUUACAAAGGUUUUACUGCACAUAUUUCAAAUCUGAAAACCACAAGCACUUUUAUGAACUUAUGUGACAAAGUUCUAUUGCAGUCAACUACAUUAUUAAGGAUUCGACUAUGCUAAAAUCUUUGUGUAGAUUUUGAGAAUCAGUGCUCUGUGAAUUUUUGAGAAGAAAAGAAUUUCAAAAUGUUUUCAUGGUUGAAGUCGACUAUGUGCGCCACACAUUCGAUUGUAUCUGUUAUCUGGUUUAAAAUUUUGUUACGCUCUUGCUCCCUAACAACUAUAUUUUUAAAAGUUAGUUGAGCAUUGAUGACUUGGUCAACUGUAUUAAAUGUGUUUUGUUUUUUGUUGACUGUACGCUACCUGGUUAACUAUUUAUUAUAACUGUCAUAAUUAAGUAAACUGGUAGCAUAAUCGACUGAGAGUCUGUAUGAAUAACAGAAAUCCACAAAUAGACUAAUCAUGAAUCAGUUAGAAGACUUUUGAUGAACUGACAAUUUUCAUUUCUGUUUCAGAUUUCUCUUAGCUCCAAGAAUUCUCCAAGAAGACGGUGGUGAUCUUUCUUGAACGAGAUUCAAAGGGGAGAUUUUCUACGUUUACAUUUGUUGAUCAUUAUCUGCACAAGAAGGUCUCUGUGUUUGAUCAUUCUGAGGCUUGGCAUCCUUGAAGAUUGCUGAAUUAUUUGUGCGGCUUGGCAUCCGUGAAGACUGUUGGAUUUGGACCUGUUGAUUGCAGGGGAUAGUGCACUUUGAGGAUUGUUCAAAGUGGUGUUUGACAGAUUACAGAAGAGGGGAUUCUUGCUGCAAGUCUUGCUGGUUUAUUGCAGCUAUAUUUUGGUUUUGGGUUAGAGAAGAGAUUUAUAUUUUUGACGUGGAGAUCUUCUAUAAAUUCCUUGUUGUAAAAACCGCAACCAUUAUAGUGCAUUUGCUUCUUGGGUGGAAGGAUACUGGAUGUAGACAUUGUUGGCCAAACCAGUAUAAAAACCUGUGAUUGAUUUUCUCUAUCCCUUCUCUUUUACAUUCCAAUCGACUCUAUAUUUCAAGCAGUCAACUAUGUUUUUCCGCUGCAUACAUAUUCUGAUUGCUUGCAUUUCAAGAAAGUUCAAAAAGUUUUAUACUUUGCAUUCAAGAUUGCGCAAAGAAGUUAUUUCUGAAAUAACAUCAAUUCAGCCCCCCUCUUGGUGUAAAAUCAAAACCAACUUGUUUCCCAACAAAGGUAACCAUCAACACAGUCAGAUGGGAAUCUGUUGAUGAACACACCCCUAAUAACAUGAUACUAAAAGGGCAAUCAGGCAUCAUUAAUGGCCACUAUGUCUGCAUCUGCAACAACGAGUGGGUCUCAAGGGAUGGACUACUGAAACCGAAACUACCUCAAAACAUGCUCACGCAAAUAUCGACAUAGCGUGUCACCAAUCCUAAUCCAUCCCAAGAAUAUACAAAUGUCGUAUAAAGGACGAGUCAUCUGAUGUGAUUCAUAAGGGGACCAGACGACUGAAUCGCAUGUCAGGGCAUCUAAGUGUACCCUAACCUCUACGAAGGUGGAACCCUGCCCACCGACCAACACGCGGUCUUUCUUCCUCAUACGGAGACACCAUACACUUCUUCCUAGUGUAGGGAAGUGCUCAUAUAUCCAACUUUACAAAGUAAAAAUUAUAAAAUUAUUCAUAAUCCACAUCGAAACAAUUCAAACAAAUCGAAGUGCAAACUAAAUGUGCACUUGAAAAAAAGUCAAAUAGCCUGCCAUUUGCUUGGUCGAAGCCAAGUUGACAUCUCCUAGCUGCUCAUACAUAUAUAUGCUAGUGCAUAAAUGCCCCAAGCAUAUCGGCCACAUGCGUGUACAACUUUGAAGAGAAAAAGCUAAGACACGCGAAUGGAUGUAGCAGUCUUGUCAGGAAAUAUAGCGAAUCCAACUAGAUGUAACAAAUAUGUUCAGGCAACAUACUCCAAUUGCUACUCCUUAUAGUGCUCAACGUAAAUGUCUUGAAGCCAACUCAAUCUGACUUUCACACCAUGAGCUGGAUGUAACUCAACAUCAUCUCUGUUGCCAUCCACGCCUAAAAGCUCGACAAUGGCAUGUCCACUUUCUUCAAGGUCCAUUUCUUCCAAAUUAAAAAGCUAUCCUAUGGGAGGUACAGCAAGGGUGACAUGUCAUCUAAAGUCACCGACAUCUCACCCACGAGGAGAUGGAAACUUUUGGUCUCGAAAUGAAAUCUCUCCACAAAUGCCAACAGUAAACCCCUAUCGACGUAGUCAUAUGAGAUGCCGACUAGAGACAUCAUACUGGAACCAUACACGAUGUCUUUAAUGCCCUCGACGUAGGAUCCUAGUUUGUUUGACUUCUCGACGUCUUCUGCGAGCAGAAGUAAUAAGUCUCCUCCUCGCACCUUGUGAGGAACUCUCUCCAUAAUGUGAAGAUACACCUCAAAUACGAGCCAUAUCUAUUCAAUUUUUUUUUUAUUAGCAAGAAUACACAAAAAAAUAACCAAAUCAAAUAAUUAUACAAUUAUAAAAAUACAAUUAUACUAUUACAAAAUCAUAAUAACUUCAAAUAAAAUAAAAUUCACUAAUAAAAAAAAUAAAGUCAUUAAAAAAUAUUUUUUUUUUAAUUCAAAUCAAAUUAACUAAUUCAUUAAUAUACUUAUGUCAUUAUAAAAUUAAUUAAUAUAUUAUUACAAACAAACAAAAAAACUAAAAUUCCUAAAAAAUUAUAAAAAUUUUAAAUAAUUAUUAAAUAAUUAUAAACAAAAAAAUUAUUUUAAAUUUAAUUUAAUUAAUUCAAAGUUUAAUAUAAUUAUAAUUUCAUUAUAUUUCAUUAAAAAAUUUAACAAAAUAUCUUCAAAUUAUAAAAUCUUCAAAAGCUAUUAAAAAAAAUCAAACAUUCAAUUCUAUAAAAUUAUAUAAAUUUUAAAUAAUUACAAACAAUUCAUUUUAAUUCAUAAAAGUUUCAUUCAUUAAAAUAUUUAAAUAAUUAUAAAUUAGUAAUAUUUCAUUAAAAAAAGUAACAAAAUAUCUUAAAAUUAUAAAAAUUAAAAAAACUAUAAAAUAAAUUAAACAUUAAAUAAUUGAAAACAAUAAAGUUUAAUCAAUUUAAUUAAUUCAUUAAUAUAUUAUUACAAAUUAAAAACAAUAAAUAUUAUAAAAUUCAAAAAAUUUAUAAUUAAUAUUAAAUAUUUACAAACUAAAUUUUUUUUAAUUCAAAUUAAAUAUAAUUAAUGCAAAUAUGAAUAUAUAAUAAAGUAUUAAAAAACAAUUAAAUUCUAUUAAAAAUAAACAAACUAUAAAAGAAAACAAAACAUAAAAUAAAAAUGCUAAAAUAAAAUUAAAAACGAAAAAAAAAGACUUCUCCCUGCACCUCAGUGCCUUCAUCCUGCACCUCCUUGUUAUUUUUACAUUUCCAAAUUAAAAAAGUUGAUUUCUAGUCAACAUGCAUUGAUAACGUGAACACUCCAACCCUUUCUCCACUCACUCUUCGCAUUUCACAUUUCAUUUUUUAAAAACCUACACCCCGUACUUCCUUCCUUCCCUCUGUGUCGCAUCACUCCUCACCCUGUAUACCCCACUUUUGUUUCUCCUCUUUUCCUCCUCUCCUCUUUGUUUUUUCUUUUGGUGUUGCUCUGUAGUGUUGCUGUUUGGCUGCAUUGUGUCGAGGUUCUUGAAGCUGCCUCCAGAUUAGAUAUUAUUUGCUUUUUUUAGUCUACUCAUAUUGUUUUGUUAUAUGUUGUCACUAGUGUGUGGGAUUGAUGUUUUGUUAUAUGUUGUUAUUGCUGUUUGGGAUCGAUUUAGGGUUGGGGUUGGGAUCGAUUUAGGGUUGGGGUUGGGAUCGAUUUGGGGUUGGUUGGGAUCGAUUUGGGGUUGGAGUUGGUUGAUCUGGGUUCAAAUCUGGGAUAGAGGAACUGCACUUGGUCUUGCAGUUGAGGGACGCCACACUUGAGAGGUGUGGUUGUUGCUGUUUGCAGAACGGCACUUGGUCAAACAAUUGAGUUGAGCCGCACUUAGGAGGUGCGGCUGUUGUUUGCCGAAUUUGUGAGGUGCGACAGAGAAGGGGGAGGUACGCUGGUGCUCGCCGCACUUGACGAAAUGUGUUGUUGAGUUGCGGUUGGCUGUGAGGUGCAGUAAAGAGUUUUUAGGGUUUUCUUUUAUUGUUUUUAUUUAUGAAAAGUUAUAUUAUUAUAUUAAAGUAAUUUUUUUAAUAUUUUAUAAUUUUUUUUGUUUUCGUAGUAUGUUUUGUUUAUUAUUAUUUGUUUGUUAUUUUUUUUAAUUUCUUUUUUUAUAAUUUUAAAUUUUGUAUAUAUUAUGUAUUAUGUAUAUUUUUUCUGUUUACUUUGAUUUUAUUUGUUUUUGAAUUUGUUGUUAAUAUACAAUUUUUAUGAAAUUAUUAUUUUGAUUAUUUAAUAAGUAUUUUGCCUAAUUUUUUUUUUUAACUUUCUUAAUUUAUUUUAAUAUGUUUAUUGUUUUUGUUAUAAUUUAUAAUUAUUUAAGUAUUAUUUAUUAAGUAUUUUUUGUUGUUAAUUUUUAAUCCUUUAUUAAUUAUUUAUUAUUGUUUUAUGUCCUCUCACUUCAAACCAAUCUUACAGUAAAAUGAAGAAAAUGGUAGUGAAGUGAACUGAGGGAGCGAGGAAUGCAUGUUAGGAUCUAUAAUCGAACAAAAAUAUUAGAUUGUUGGUAGUUAGGAAUAUUUGUUAGUGGUUAAAUAUGAUUAAGUAAUUAUUAAUUAAGUUUUAAAUUUAUUAAAUGAAGGGUAAAGUGAAGGGUGCAUGUUAAGAUUUAUAAAUAAAAAUAUUGGGUUGUUGAUAGUUAGGAAUAUUUGUUAAUGGUUAAAUAUCAUUAACUAAACUUUAUUAAAUGAAGGAUAGAAUGAUAAAAUUGGAAAUACGAAAAGAAGGAGGGGAAGAAGGAGGGCAGGUGCAGGAGCAUCACUAAAAAAAUGUGUGGACUCUCUAAACACGAUAGGACGUCGAAAAUCAAGACAGCCUACAUCAGAUGUCGAUGUUUGAUGAAGCCUGUAUCAGUUUUCAACAUUCAAUGCCUAUCGCGUUUCAGAUUCGGUGCAGAGCAAACCACCCAUAGAUCAAGCACUCAUAUUAAAGAUCAAGUUAUUCAUACAUAUUCUAAUCAUCCAAUCUACAAACAUGCUACAAACAAGCAAAAUAAAUUUAAAAAACCAUGAAGCAACCUUUGAGCAACGAAGAAUGGAGGAAAAAUUGAAGAAGAAGACGAAGAACUCUUGUGUGUCUGGAUGUGCCUCUAUGACUGGGAAAGAGACCAAAGGCAAGAACAAACUGAAAUGGAAAAAUAAGAAGCUGUUAGUGUGCCCGAAAAAAGAAAUCCGAGAAGAAGAGGAAGCUGUUGAGGAAGUUGUUUCUACCUGACUCUGCUUCAAAUAAAAAAAUAAGCUUUUGUGCAUGGUGCCUGUGCUGCAAAAACAAGGAGAAAGGAAAUCCAAGAGCAAAGCUUAUGUGUGUGCUGUGAAGCGUGUGUGCUGUGAAGCUUGUGUGCGUGUUGUGCUGUGUGAGAAAGAAGAGCAAAUGAAAGCUUGUGUGCAUGUUGUGAUGUGUGAGAAAGGAGAGCAAAAGGAAAUGUGAGUGUUGUGCUGCCAAUGCGAUGCCAAUGCCUAAAAUCUGAAUCUGACAGUUGAAGAAUCUUUG
This 10152-nucleotide long non-coding RNA is filed under the name Vigna radiata. Its description in RNAcentral is "long non-coding RNA (VRAD_LNC007871)". Lineage: Eukaryota; Viridiplantae; Streptophyta; Magnoliopsida; Fabales; Fabaceae. The record is from RNAcentral.